Osmia lignaria (orchard mason bee) is the source of this 6650-nucleotide long non-coding RNA. RefSeq lists it as uncharacterized. NCBI's taxonomy places the organism in Eukaryota, Metazoa, Arthropoda, Insecta, Hymenoptera, Megachilidae. The record is from RefSeq and is a predicted model, not a curated record.
GUCCACUCCGAGCUAGAUCUCGACUCGCCAGACUUCUUGACGAUUCCGCUCGCUACGAUCGCGAGCUAUCGGAAAUUGAGCUGAAAUUAAUUUUCGUGGAACUCUCGGGACGGUUUUUUUCGUUACGUUCUUUGACCCGUUCCCGGGACGCGAGGGGGUGAGCCGAGAUUGCGGUCGCCGGAUAAGAUUCGAGUAUUUUGCUUCUGGUGUUAUUGGAAUCGUUUCGAAGGAAGAUAAAAGAAAUUGGGUCUGUAAUUUAUUGUCUCGUAUAUUUACGCCGUGUCAACUUUCAGCCUCGUGGCGUUACAAAAUAACGGGGUAGCGAUUGUAUGACGGGAAUUGAAAGCGUAAGAAAAUUAGUAUUAGAAGAGGGAAGAAUCGUAGGCGCUAAUGGUUGAAGAAUCUGGGCCUCCGAUUACGAAUAUGUUAAAAGGAAAAAAUCAUAUUUAACUUGGAGUAUGUCUAACGAAACCGGAAAGAGGAAGUUUCAAAUUCAUCUACGUCCUCAUUUAACAAAAAAUGAAAUCAGAAUCAAAGGCUCCACACCAGCCAAUCUAAUUAACAGUAUAAAUCACGAUACUUACUCCGCAAGCUCGAACACCUAAGAAUAAAAGAGUAGAUGGAACGCGGAGAUAGAGCGGAUUGAACAAGGUAUAAACAAAGGGAGGGAAGAAAGGAGGCUUUACUAAUGGCCCCGAGACGAGGGGUGUGCGUAGCCCUUGGGCCCAGAACGUGGCGGGACGUGAAAACAUCUCCAUUCCACGGGUCACGAGGGCCUUGGCUCGUGGAAUUCAUAAGAGAAUAAUGUCGGACGGUCGAAAAUUAAUUUAAUUUGUACUAGAAACCGACGAGGAGAAAGAGUCGGUUAACGAGAGAAAGGAGAGAAGAGGAUUGUUGCGAGAGGGAGAAGGAGGAAGGGUGCAGGGAAGUAGGUAGAAGGGAGAAUAGGCCCGCGUUCUUGGUCGAGGGCGCAGGUUAGGGCAGCAGAGGAGAGAGGGGGUAAAAUGGACCCCUGCUGGUUAAUAUAUAGCGGGCCAGUUGGUUCGAAAGGCGCUGCUCUGUCUCCGCGGCGGACUCCUUAGCGGGGCACUGAAACUUUACCUCCCAUAAUUGAUACGAAUGUCUUUUCAGGCCGCGCUCGAACAUCGCACGGCUAUUUAGUCGAGCUCCGUUUCGUCGAGUCGGGCCUCGUUUCUCUUUCUCAUUCUUCUCUUUCCUUUCCUACGAACGAUCCGACACGUCAAUUAUCAACGCGUCUCUGUUCACCGACUCGCGCGGCGCUCGCCACUUGACCCUUUCGGCAAUUAUCGACGCCCGUGACGAAUCUUCCCUUCUCUUGAAAUAUCGAUGCUGUAAUUGUAAGGAAAUUCGCGCGCGUUCCCGUAGUACCCACGCGAAUCGGAUGAGUAUCCGCGAAUCCGAACGCUGAUCGAAACCUCUCGAUAGACACGGCGAGGCUCGCUCGUGGCACGAAGAGGGCGAUCCGCUCGCAGAAGAAUUAAUUAGUCGAUCUCGCACGCUGGUGGGCCCGAAAUCGUCGUUUCCGUACCGUCCUCAGCGCCGGUAGAACGAGCCUCGGGUAAUUAGUAGGUACCUACCGAUCAACAUCUGCAAGGUGAACGAGCAUUACCAUGCUUAAUGAGUGGUGCACGGUCUGGCCGUGAAUCUUGCGGACGGUGUGCGGCUAUUUCACCUCGGCCGUGUUUCUAUCUCUACUCGAUCGGAUUCGUGAAGCGAGGAUGACCUCGAGUCGCGCGAAAAUUAGAUCCUGUUCACCUCGAAACUCGUCGGAACGAUUAUAAUCAUCACCUGAUACGUAAAUUUAAAAAAUCAGCUAAAAUUUUGAAACCUUUCAAUAUUCACCCUCGGAACGUCCAUUGGUCUACAAUGUCGAUUUUACCCUCGGUAUCAGGCUGUUCGAUCGUUAUCGUCGAAACAUCAGCUUCUUAGAAGAAGCUGCGAAUAAAAGAAUCGAGGGAAGAAUAGAGGUGGGAGAUCGUUGGUGAAUCGAAGAGGGGGUAGUCGGCGCGUAUAACUACCAGCGAAGUCAGAACCCCGGCGAGAUUACGAUCUAAGUAUCCCCAGAAACAAAUGCCGAAUGCAACUCGCCCAUUGCCGUGGCCCUUUGUCGGCUCUGCGAGCGGUGCCCUGUUCCCGGUACCCAACACCUGCACCACCUUCGGACCCCACGAUCUUCGUCGCGAAGCCACGCUCUCGGAAACGGACCGUGUGCGUGGCGUGGCCUGUCAUACAGGCCUGUUAUUGAUUGCUCAAUACGAGAAAGCGGCGCAAACCGCGAUCACCUCUCUUCUACACACCUUUGCCGUCCUCUCCCUUCCGCUUCUUUUUAUUCUUCAGAGUUGCUGUUUCUUCUGUUCCUCUUCCUCGAAGAAUUAUGAGGAUAUUAUUCGCGGCGCGGAUAAGGUAGGAUAGAGGGUGUUCAAAAAUAUUCUUAUUAAAAUUUAAUAUAAACAAAUUAUCAAUUUUAUACUCGCCACCGUAGAAUCAUCAUCGAGAGGCUAAACGACACGUGUGUCGCUAGUAAAUCAAAUUGGCAUCCUCCAGAGUUCUCGAGUGGUUCUUUUCAUCUCUCGAGUGGCUCUUUUACACUCGAUUAAGGAAAUGAAGCGCUCGAAUUCCCGAGACUCUCGAAGAAUACAUUCAAGCAGGUGAUUCACCCUCGGAAAAAAGACGCAUCACCGUUGACCUGCAGCGUCUUUGUACACGCCUCGAGAGAGCCAGCAGAGCUCGGAUUCAUGGGAAACUGUCGAAUUUCGAAGAGUGUUUAAUGAAAUCGUGUCCACGACAUUUCUUCGCGUGGGAGCUGCUGUUAGAGGCUGGAAAAAUUUUCCGGACGACCGGUUUCGCGUUCACUAGCUCCUUAGGCAGUCUUGGACGCAGGUAGGACGAGGGGUUAGAACUGGACAAUGGUUGGCAGCGGGAAGAGAAAUGGUUUUUUAACUCGUCCCGAUGCGACGACGUUUAUUCCCGACCGGGUAAUUUGUAUUUUUUCCCUCGCCAUAGGGGGUGGAGCGGGAAAAUUAAAUUUUUUCGGCUCGAGACGAGACCGAGCGUCGUUUGUCAUCGUUUAAAUAAUUCCCUUUGUUCGGGACGUUCUCUUCCUACUUCGUCCGAGUUGAAAUAUAAAUUCUAGUUUGAUCCUAUUAACUCGGAUAUGCCCACCGUUUUAUAUAUAUUAUAUCCUAUAGAAAUAUCUUUUUACUACGGUCACUUCACCCCUUAAAUUUCGAUCGAAGAUUUAUGAUCUAACUAGACGAUGCAUAAUACUUUAUGGCACCUUUCAAAUUUACGCCUCUAGUCUAUUCCUCUGAAAAGAUUCAUACACAUUCGAAUGGUUUCACGCUCGCCAUGCUGGAUUCGUAAUUUAAUAUCAUAGUCGUGUGGCGUUUGCUCGCUGGAAGAUCCAUUCGCGUGCCAACGCUUUAGACGUUUCCUCGUUUGCAUCGAUUUCUCUGCAGGUUGGCACACUUCUCUUUACGACGGUGACCUCUGUGACCUGGAAGAAUUCAGAGUCUCAGCUCUGCAAGAUAUUCAACUCGUACAGUCAUCCAAAAUUUGGUAAAAAUUUUUAUCAUCAAUAUGUAUCGAUCGCUAUCCAUCCCUAAUUUCACCGCCCCCGAAGGGCGAAGGAAGAGCAGCCACCGUUUGCCACGAGGAAGGUCCACGGAGGAUCGACGAAAAGGGUAAAAUAGUUGUACGCCGCGAUGGCUCGUAGAUUCAGCGAGGAAACGUGUCCUUGGCGAUGGUAGCGUGUUCGCAUAAACUCGGCCGGGUUCCUUCGUUCGGACACGGGUGGUUCUCUCGUGGUUGCCCACGUAGCAGCCACGUGAACAAAGGGUGGGAUACACCUACAUACGUUCUCAUCACGGAUUCGCCAGGACAAAACAAACCCGACACCGCGACGUGCCCCGGUUCGCUGUUCCUCGCGACGUUCGGGAGGGAAGGCUUGGUUCUGCGUUGCAACAGGGAGGACGGGAUGGAAGCGGAGGAGGCAAGGGAACGGGAUCAGGGAACAACGGAAGAGGGUGAAGAUGGAAGAGAGAGAAGAUAGCGGGGUGAUCUGUGAGGCCCGGUGUGUGGUACCCCUUUCGCGAACUGCUGCACGCUUUCGCAAAAGGGGGCUGCGAUCGAAAGGGGCCAUCGAACGAAAGCAACGACGGAGAAGGAGAUCAAGAGACACGGUAGAACGAGGGAGGAGUUAGCGGAUUAGAGCCAGUCAUCCGCGUCAAAGGCGACCGCCCAUGCGAUCGGGCCGCGAUAUCGAAGAUGGCAGAAUGAUCCGUUCACUGCUCGGCCCACCCCUGAGCCGAUCUCUUCUCCGCUGUUAAAAAGGGAUUCACGCAGAAAGAAUAAUUAAUCCUGCGCUGGCCCGGUACAGCGUUCCUGGUGCUUGUUCGUUUGUUGAUCGUCGACGAUGAUUGGUCGACCAAGCCUGCCCGUCGUUACGUCCACCUGGAUCACUGCUGGAUUAUGUCUCUGCCAGGUUAAUUACGGCGACAGAUUAUUUUUGGUAUUCCUGAUCCUCUUACAGGGAGUACUGUUUUUUUUUGAUUGAAUUCGGGGCUGUUGCGGAGAGGGUGCCUCUUAAGGAUCAGGGAAGAUAGAGAUAAGAUUGUGACAUUAAAUCGUCACCGUAACGCCAGGACAAAAAGAGAAACGUUGACACUUUGCGAUUUACUGUCACGUGGUAACGUAUCCUACGAAAAGAGACGCGGGUCGUCGGUGCAGUCGUUGGACGUCUCCGUCCCUGGCCAUGGUCGGGGAAUUCGAGACUGUUACAAUAGGGGGCGAGCCGCGGACAGGCUAUGGUGGCGCCUAUGCACUCCUGCGUUUCGUGAGAAAUAGAGACGAGGAAUAAAGGGGGUGAAGGGAGAGGAGGUACGAACGAGCCGCGACCCCAAAGCUGAACCCAUGGCAAGUCAUAUAACGAGUCGAGCCGCGAACGAAAAGGAGUCGACCGCUGUCGAGAAAAAAAAAAAGAAUUCUUCAACGCGAGAGCAAACACAAUUAGAGGCAGCCCUUCCGGCUCUGCCUGUUCUUCUCCCCUCGCGUUGGCCCGGCCCGAGUGUUUUACGUUUCGUAAGAAAAAGAAGAAGACGAAACUUCGAGGUGCUCGAUGCUGUUCCUUUUCGUUCGAGUGGCAACGGUAGGAAGAGACAAAAGGAGGAGACGAAGGCGAAGAGGACUCAAUCCUGCGCGGUGCGGCAAGCCGAGCUGCUAUAUAACCGACGAGGAAGGAGACGGUAAUAGCCAAUCACGCGGCGAACGCAAAAACCACGACGAGGAGCGUCGUAAAGCUCGCUAUGCUCUCUUCGUUUCAUCCUCGUUCCACCUGACGACGUUCGAGCCGGGAUGCAGAAGGAACGAACCGUUCGGGAGGGUUGCCCGCGAGAGGAUGCGUUCUCCCUCCGUUUCUCGUCGCCCGCUAGAGAUAUUAAUUAGAAUAAUUGCCGCUAACAGGCUCGUUAGCGUUGAACCGAGAUAGCAAACGAGCGCGCCUCGCACGCGAAAAUAAAAUGAGACGGCUCCCCGGGCGAAAGACCAGCCUGCCACGCGAGAUGAAAGAGGACGAGAGCACCAGCCGGCUCGCUUCUCCGCUGCUUACGGCAGAAGUACCUCAAUCAGGCUCGAGCUGCGUCAUUUGCAUAUUUCUUCGGGCUGGAUAUUCUUCCCCUUCGUUCCAUAGGGGAAAAUCAAAAGGGUGCUGAAUUAAUCCAGAAGUGUCGAUUGGAACUAAUUUAACCCCUUCGGACUCAGAUGUUCUUCAAAGAUGAAAUUUAAAACGUAGUACUUUUGCGACGACUCGAGCUAAUAGGGUGCCGUCCGCGCACCCUCGUGCUCCUCCGCGACGGGUACGUAGCCAACGACCUCCGGAUCGGUACGCUGUUCGCCGUCUGGUAGGAUUUUUUCUCGGAUACAAGGGAGAAGCAGAAAGAGAAUCGUUGGUUGGCCAGUCAGCAAUUCCGUCUUUAUUCCGCGAACGAGACCGGGGCCCUCCUAAUCAAUUCCAAUUAGAGAGCGGAAUAUUUGCGGGCCAAGCUGAGCGGAGCCCAUGGAAGGGACUAUUAGCAGUCUCUCUUACUACCGAGAGUCCCGAGCUGACUCUCGUUGGCCGUAAAUCAAGCACCGGCCCAUACAGAAUCCGCUUCACGGACAGACACGGAGAGACACGAGAUUCUGGUGUGCCGUUCGUACGUGUGGGUGUAACGUGGAUAACCAUGUGUGUGUAUCACAGAGCGAGGGAUGGAGAGAGGCGGUCGAUAGGGUGGAAGAAGGAUGAAGAGGAACGGCAACUUCGUACACGAGCUGGAUACAUUAAUCGUUGAUAGAAGAUCGAUUACAGGACACGUGACGAUCAACGAUCAGCAAUGUUUCUACUACAGGGUAGAAGACGAGACACAGGAAAAGGAACAUCCCUUUAACGCAAACAGCGACUACAGAUCCAGAAAGAAUAGACAUGACUUUGUUCUCGAGGAGUUAUGGUUUUAAGGGGGCAAAACACCUUCAGAUGAAGCAAGUCUGCAUGUAAGCAGCACAGACGGAUGUACCACGCAUCGCAUUCACAAAUGAAGACACAAUUUUGAUUUCUUUUGAUUUUUAUUCCUAUUUUUUUUAGAAAUCAUUCAAAA